AAGAGAAGAGAAGAGAAGAGAAGAGAAGAGAAGAGAAGAGAAGAGAAGAGAAGAGAAGAGAAGAGAAGAGGGACUCAAGGAUAAGAGACUACCUGCAUUCUGAAGAAAAAAGAAAAAGACAUCAGAGCAGGAAUUAUGAAAGGAAACACCCUGGUCUAUUAAAAUGGGAGGACGAGGAGCAGCUUGCACAGUUUCGGCCGAAGGCCUGUAUAGGUCCGGUAAUACGAGGCUAGUGCACUACUCCUCUACUACGCUGACGGCUAGGCUAAC
This is a long non-coding RNA of Mugil cephalus (flathead mullet), 270 nucleotides long. RefSeq lists it as uncharacterized. NCBI's taxonomy places the organism in Eukaryota, Metazoa, Chordata, Actinopteri, Mugiliformes, Mugilidae. The transcript is spliced from 3 exons. The record is from RefSeq and is a predicted model, not a curated record.